CCUUCAUUAUCAAAGUGCAUGCUCUGAAUCAGAUUACAUUGCCUCAAAAGGAAAGAAAUAUGCUUGCCACACAAUCCUUAGAUGAUCAAGCAGCUGAUAUGCUUGGUCUCUUUAGUAAGACAACGACAAACAUGAUAAUUCAGCAUUUGCUUAAGAUUUCAGCAAAAUCAUAGUAAUACUUUAGGAAAUAUAAAAAAAACAUAUAAAAAAACUCGACCACAUGGGAGACUCCCCUUAGACUUUGUUCUAAGAAGGCGACAGGGGUUUCAUCAACCCUGGAGUUCAAGGCUGUAACCAUUAUGGACCGAGAAUGUUUAGUGCAACAUGUUACAUGACUUCAAGCCAAAGAAGGAUCGUUGUCUGAUUGGAUAAGAGUAAUUGGAGAACAUACCUUGGCUGCAUGUGUUGAUCUACCAGGGAUCAUUCCAGCCUCCAUGUGCAGUGAAUCAAAUCUCUGUAGCCUCUUUGGUGGCAUUUUGUGUGAUGCAUGUUCAGAGUUGGCAUCACCGUGAGCAGCUCCGUUGCUGCUUGUGUGCUGAGGUUCAGUCAUCUUGAAGGCAGUUGCUUGUGAUGCUAGAACAUGAAUAUGAACGUGUGCUUUCUUCCUUUUUCAAAGACCGGCUGGUAUGGACAUAUUCUGGGAUAAGGCUGGAUUCUUGUGCAACAAACGGAUUUCUCAUCGCAUGUUGGCAAGGUCAGAUGCUGUUAUUAUCAUUCACUUCACUUGCCAAGGUCUUCGUUCAACGCUGCAGCCGUGAACCUUGUGAUCUGCUUUACACAAACCGGGAAGGUGGCUACGUCGUGGGAGCCUGGGAGUGCAUGAUGACUUUUCUUCAUCACCAAUGGCUGUCACCUGUCACUCGUUGAUUUAGGCAAGCGUGCAUUUCUCGUUGCCAAUAUGUAAGGACUAAGCAUACGGCCAUAUGGGAUAUUUGCAGCAGUGUGUAACGGCCCAAAAGUGGCUGCCAACAGUAUUGACUUCCAAUCUUCGAUACUGUGAGCAGCUAUUGUUGGAAAAUAUCGGAGCCCCAAGUGUUCUUUGGCAACUUGGGACUUGUUUAGUUGGAGAAAAAUUUUGUCUUUGGCUACUGUAGCACUUUUGUUUGUAUUUGAUAAUUAUUGUCUGACUAUGGAAGGUUCAAAAAAUUCGUCUCGUAAA
This is a long non-coding RNA of Sorghum bicolor (sorghum), 1159 nucleotides long. RefSeq lists it as uncharacterized. The transcript has 4 exons. The record is from RefSeq and is a predicted model, not a curated record. NCBI's taxonomy places the organism in Eukaryota, Viridiplantae, Streptophyta, Magnoliopsida, Poales, Poaceae.